AAAUAAACUUUGUUCAGCGAUUAUAAAACACGAAUUAAAGGAAGAUGAAAAUAAAAAAAUAACCCAAAAACGGUUACAAGAAAUAGCUUUGCAAAUACAAAGUGUUAUUCCAGGAGAAAUUCAGGAGACAUAUUAUAUUCCUUACAAAAGAUAUUCAGCGGAAAAAAAAG
Long non-coding RNA from Wasmannia auropunctata (little fire ant), 170 nucleotides. RefSeq lists it as uncharacterized. The record is from RefSeq and is a predicted model, not a curated record. The transcript is spliced from 3 exons. NCBI's taxonomy places the organism in Eukaryota, Metazoa, Arthropoda, Insecta, Hymenoptera, Formicidae.